RNAcentral lists this ribosomal RNA (253 nucleotides) under uncultured bacterium. RNAcentral describes it as "partial 16S ribosomal RNA". It matches the Rfam family "Bacterial small subunit ribosomal RNA", at positions 524 to 776 of the family's 1533-position model. The record is from RNAcentral.
UACGAAGGGGGCUAGCGUUGUUCGGAAUCACUGGGCGUAAAGCGCACGUAGGCGGACUUGUCAGUCAGGGGUGAAAUCCCGGAGCUCGACUUCGGAACUGCCUCUGAUACAGCAAGUCUUGAGUCCGGAAGAGGUGGGUGGAAUUCCUAGUGUAGAGGUGAAAUUCGUAGAUAUUAGGAAGAACACCGGUGGCGAAGGCGGCCCACUGGUCCGGUACUGACGCUGAGGUGCGAAAGCGUGGGGAGCAAACAGG